AUACGUAGGUGGCAAGCGUUAUCCGGAAUUAUUGGGCGUAAAGAGUGAGCAGGCGGUUAAUUAAGUCUGAGGUUAAAGCGUGGGGCUCAACCCCAUUCUGCCGUUGAUACUGGGUGGCUUGAUUGCGGUCGAGGUUGGCGGAAUUCGUUGUGUAGCGGUGAAAUGCAUAGAUAUGACGAAGAACACCGAUUGCGUAGGCAGCUGACCAGACCGCAAAUGACGCUCAUGCACGAAAGUGCGGGGAUCGAACAGGAUUAGAUACCCUGGUAGUCCGCACAGUAAACGAUGAAUACUUGUUUUCGGCGAUAUAAUGUCGGAGGCAAAGCGAAAGCGAUAAGUAUUCCACCUGGGGAGUACGCCGGCAACGGUGAAACUCAAAGGAAUUGACGGGG
RNAcentral lists this ribosomal RNA (392 nucleotides) under uncultured bacterium. RNAcentral's name for it is "partial 16S ribosomal RNA". It matches the Rfam family "Bacterial small subunit ribosomal RNA", at positions 523 to 918 of the family's 1533-position model. The record is from RNAcentral.